RNAcentral lists this small nuclear RNA (135 nucleotides) under Dasypus novemcinctus (nine-banded armadillo). RNAcentral's name for it is "U4 spliceosomal RNA (ENSDNOG00000029347.1)". It matches the Rfam family "U4 spliceosomal RNA". Rfam says of the family: U4 small nuclear RNA (U4 snRNA) is a component of the major U2-dependent spliceosome. The record is from RNAcentral. Lineage: Eukaryota; Metazoa; Chordata; Mammalia; Cingulata; Dasypodidae.
AGCUUUGCGCAGUGGCAGUAUUGUAGCCAAUGAGGUUUAUCUGAGGCGCAAUUAUUGCUAAAAUAGAUGUUAAGUGAAAAUUGACAGUGCUUAAUGCAUACCUUAGGAAUUCAUUUCUUGUUCACCUUGUCAGGU